Molecule: small nucleolar RNA, 81 nt
Organism: Pseudophryne corroboree (corroboree frog)
Lineage: Eukaryota; Metazoa; Chordata; Amphibia; Anura; Myobatrachidae
Product: small nucleolar RNA SNORD79
Exons: 1
Source: RefSeq, a predicted model, not a curated record
UGUACUGUAUGAUGAUUUGAAUAAUUAUCAAUGGGAAUCUCUCUGAAUAAGAGUGAAUGAUACGCUACAUCUGAUGGUGCA